Molecule: ribosomal RNA, 493 nt
Filed under: uncultured bacterium
Lineage: Bacteria
Description: bacterial SSU rRNA
Rfam family: Bacterial small subunit ribosomal RNA
Source: RNAcentral
GAUGAACGCUAGCGGCAGGCCUAACACAUGCAAGUCGAGGGGUAACAGAAGAAGCUUGCUUCUUGCUGACGACCGGCGCACGGGUGCGUAACGCGUAUACAACUUGCCCUUAACUGGAGGAUAGCCCCGAGAAAUCGGGAUUAAUACUCCAUAACAAUGUAGAAUGGCAUCAUUCAGCAUUUAAAGCUCCGGCGGUUAAGGAUGGGUAUGCGUAAGAUUAGUUUGUUGGUGAGGUAACGGCUCACCAAGACUACGAUCUUUAGGGGUUCUGAGAGGAUGAUCCCCCACACUGGUACUGAGACACGGACCAGACUCCUACGGGAGGCAGCAGUGAGGAAUAUUGGUCAAUGGACGCAAGUCUGAACCAGCCAUGCCGCGUGAAGGAAGACGGCCCUACGGGGUUGUAAAACUUCUUUUUUAUAUGGGAAAGAAAACCCCCUCUACGUGUAGAGGGCUGACGGUACCAUACGAAUAAGCACCGGCUAACUCCGUG